Long non-coding RNA from Paramisgurnus dabryanus, 1791 nucleotides. RefSeq lists it as uncharacterized. The record is from RefSeq and is a predicted model, not a curated record. NCBI's taxonomy places the organism in Eukaryota, Metazoa, Chordata, Actinopteri, Cypriniformes, Cobitidae.
GAAGAGCAGUGAAAUAGGAGACGUGUCAACGGGAGCGAGCAGAGAGAUGUGGGCGCGAGCGUGCAUGAUACACAGCCUGAAAGAUUGAAGAAGUUUAACUUAGACAUGCCCAAGUCUGAAUGCAGUAAUUUUAGUAUCCUGGAGUGCUGGACAUGUAUUAUUGGGCUCAGUGUGUUCUGUUUCUGUCUUUCCUGUGCUGGAGAACUCUGCAGUAAACACACAAAAACGCAUUUGCAUUGGCAGUCACCUACACUGACUGUACACACACAGUUUUACAAUUAACAGUAAACAAAGAUUCUGUACCUUCCAUUGAGGAGUACUGGCAGGAUUCAGACAGUACUGGAUAGGAUGAAGAGUGUAUCUGAAGGUUCUUGUAGCUCCCAAUCGUGUAUGCUUUAUGUAUCCCCUGCAGUCCUUCCUGGUAAAGAUUUUCAGUAUUGCUCAAGUUCGUAGGGUUUUGAAGCUCCCCACACUGCCCUCCUCCAACUGUGUGCAACCUGACUGCCUGCAUCUGACAGUCUCCAGGCCCAAUCCGUACAUCUCCUUGCUGUGCGGCUAAUACAACCCCUGCGGCAGCUGUGCGUGCCAGCGACCAGAUCCGGGGCUUUUCCGAUGUCUCAAAAUGAGAGAGUGCCACAGUGCUUAUGGAACUGGACUGAGGUGAGGACUGCUGUGGUUUGGAGCCGAGCGGAUCCAGAUAGUCCGAGUUCAGAGGUCCCAAAUUCUUCAGGCCACAGGGAAAGGAUGAGAAGUUCAGCUCAGGGUUACAGUCUCUCUUUGGUGGGGAGGAAGUUGCAAGGUCAUCCUGACCCGAUUUCUCACAGUCACUGUCCAGCUUGUCACAUUCCUCGUCCUCAAUGUCAUCCAGGUCGCUGAACUGCAGGUCUUGCUCAUCCUUACUCUCUUUGGAGUCUAUGCAAGAGCAGUGAAAGUGGCAAAAAAUCCCUGUGCGCUAUCAUUUGGGAGCUAUCGGAAAUGUCAAAGGUGUCCUUUUGAUGUCAGGUGUGGGCCUCAUGCAAUGCAGCACCUGUGUGGGUCGCUGUAUACAUGUGAGUGGUGAGUCUGUUCCAAAAAGUCACUCUGUCCCUGUCGUGUUCUUGACUUCAUCAUCUGCUUUUUUCUCUCAUUUAAUAAUUGGUGUGAUUGUGAUCCAUUGAUAUUGAAUAUUUAAGUUGUAGAUCCCCUUGAAAUAUAUAUUUUUCCUGAAUAUUCAUGUGUUGCAAAUCAAAUAUCUAAACUGAUAUCCGCUCCAUCUGCUGGUCAAGUAGAUAAACACACUGUAAAUUAAACUGCUACAAUAUCAUACAAUAUUUUAGUCCUAUGAUAACUGUGUGUUAGGUUUGUUUUCAUAUGAGCUUUCCUGCCAUUUAUAAAUGGUAAUAUGAAUGUGUAAAAAUGUACAGAUUGUUUAUCAUACAGCUAUAGACUUGGACAAAAGUUCUUGGAGUAAAUGAAUAGUGAUAUAUUUACUCACAACAGUAGGGAGCAAAUAAUAGUUUGUUCCUUUUAUAUUUUUUAGGAAUUUUUAUUUAUUUGCUCUGAAACCACAGUACAAACGAGGAAAAUGCAAAUUGGAAAUACAAAAUAAAACAUACAAAUACAAAUUAUCUUUUAAUCAUAUCAUUGUUUUACUGGUCUAUAAACCACUCCAGCAAACAGGUGAAAAUACCUAAAGGAAUUGUGUUAAAGCUCUUAAUGAAAACAACCAGAAGCAAAACAAACACUGUUUUUAAUUCUCUUGCUCUUCACUUUGUUUUUUAAGGGUUACCACAAGUACUCUUAGGAGAGAGA